GAGCAGGUGCGAAAGCAGGUCUUAGUGAUCCGGUGGUUCUGAAUGGAAGGGCCAUCGCUCAACGGAUAAAAGGUACUCCGGGGAUAACAGGCUGAUACCGCCCAAGAGUUCAUAUCGACGGCGGUGUUUGGCACCUCGAUGUCGGCUCAUCACAUCCUGGGGCUGAAGUAGGUCCCAAGGGUAUGGCUGUUCGCCAUUUAAAGUGGUACGCGAGCUGGGUUUAGAACGUCGUGAGACAGUUCGGUCCCUAUCUGCCGUGGGCGCUGGAGAAUUGAGGGGGGCUGCUCCUAGUACGAGAGGACCGGAGUGGACGCAUCACUGGUGUUCGGGUUGUCAUGCCAAUGGCAUUGCCCGGUAGCUAAAUGCGGAAGAGAUAAGUGCUGAAAGCAUCUAAGCACGAAACUUGCCCCG
Molecule: ribosomal RNA, 411 nt
Filed under: Citrobacter freundii
Lineage: Bacteria; Pseudomonadati; Pseudomonadota; Gammaproteobacteria; Enterobacterales; Enterobacteriaceae
Description: partial 23S ribosomal RNA
Rfam family: Bacterial large subunit ribosomal RNA
Source: RNAcentral